Molecule: long non-coding RNA, 9964 nt
Filed under: Monomorium pharaonis (pharaoh ant)
Lineage: Eukaryota; Metazoa; Arthropoda; Insecta; Hymenoptera; Formicidae
Description: uncharacterized LOC118644590
Source: RNAcentral
UCUCUCUCUCUCUCUCUCUCUCUCUCUCUCUCUCUCUCUCUCUAAUAAUGCCAAAAAAAUAAAAAUUACAAAUAUUAUUAAUAAUAUGUGAAAAAAAGAUUAAUGCAUAAUGGAUUCAAUAACACGUUAUAAACUACAUAAAGAAAAAUUUACAUAUAAGUAAUAAAAAAAUAACAAAAUAAAAAUAUAACAUUUUUAUCUGUUAUUUCUAAUUCUGUUUCACUAUAUCGAAAAAUACGAAACUUAUCCAUUCGAAGCGAAUCGAUAUAUAUUGCACAUAUUAAUUUUUCCCCGUUUGUGACCAAACCAUUCUUCUACGUCUCUUCAUUUCCAUACUGCAAACAAACAUCAGCAUCGGCAUCGUAAAUAACAAGGAAAGCGUGAUAUCAGAAUUUAAAUAUAUAACAUCGUAAUAUGCAUAAAUUUAAAUUGCACUUUAUACAUCUGCAGCCAUCUCGGAAAAAAGAAAGAGAGAGAGAGAGAAAGAGUGCGCGCAAAAUAGAAGCGAACGCGGCAUUUAAAACUCACGAAAUAACUCAUGCAAAUUAAAGAACGAUGAAAAAGAGCAAUCCGCAAAUGCCAAAAGGCGAGAGAAGCGGACGUAGAUGGCGGAGACAGAAACCGUAGCUAGUUCAGAGAUAUAGGCACGCGCCUAACAGACUAGUAAAGAGAACCGAGGGAAAAGAGCAGUUAGUACGAAUUGCUUCGUCGGUUCCUUAGACAGAAUAUCUUUCCUUGAUCCUACGUCUGGCAACGUUCGUUCCGCUUUGCUUCCAUUCCAUAUUUGGUGCCUCGUUCAUUCUCUCUCCUCAAUUUUGCAUGAAAAUUUAAAUAUCCUCUUUGGAUAAUUUAUAUCGCGCAUUGUAAUUAAGGAACAUUCAUAUAAAAUUUGUAUAUACAUAAUCGAGAGAAAGAUUAUCGAAAAGUAAAUAAAAUUUUUAAUUAAAAUCUCGUGCGCUAUUUUUCUGAUAAUUAACAAAGCCACUCUUUAUCUUCGACUUUGCGAGGUUUGCUCGCAAAGGAGAUAACAGCACGUAUGGUCUCGGCUGUUUAAAUUUUUGCCAGAUGCGACGAGAAUAUUGCGAUCCAAACGGGCCGUCAGGCACAACCGAUUCGAGCCGCGGCGUUUCCUUACUGUCCGUCUUGUGUUUCUGUCAGCGACGGAAGAGCCGUCUCCCCCAGUCGCGAGGCCUACUUCGAUCUCCAGGAGACUACUCCGACGACUUCCACGAGACUCCGCAGUACACAGAGAGAAAGGGUGGUUGUAACGGCGCCAGCAGGACCGUCAGACGCACGCGGUUCCGUCGCGAUUGUUCUACCGCAUUUACCUUCGAUUUGUCGGCGCUCUAUCUUCAACAAAUUACUUGCUAACUAUCCUCCUCUUUCUCCCUCUACGCGCUUCCACUGCAUCUGCACCUGUGUUAUUGACCUGGCAACACGCUUCCCUGAUUGCGUACAUUCGUACCUUGAUUACGUCAGUGUUAAUAAAACCAUCUGACUUACGACACUACGCGCAUGGAGAUGAUAAAACCGUCGACAUGUCAAAUCGCGAGAUAUCUGGAGACCUCCGGUUGAACAGCGAUUUCGAAAAUCUCGUUCAUGAUUUUAUGCAAAACAGAAAAAUAUCAGAAAAGCAAUGCAUGGAUAGCACUGAUCCUUUCAAAUCGCCAAACAACAAUAGGAUAGUAGAAGCAGAAUCCAAAAGUUCUCGAGUACACCAGGGUCUUACCGAAGAAAAUGGAAUUCGUUUUCUCCGAACAAUCUCGAGUGAGGGGGCAUACAGGGAAAGGGGGUAAGUGCACGGGACAAGGGGAUAGUUUAUGCCGCGAUAUCCAAAUGCGAUCGAAGAAAAGGAGGAACCCCGUUCGCGCGAAGGGAGGAGAGCGGGAGAGUCAUGGAGGAAAAAGGGUAAGGUAGUACAAGUCCGCCGUCAGCCGUACGUUCCCUCAUAGGCCGCGAGGAAGAUACCGAGGAAAAAGGGAAAAAAGAACAGACACGCGGAGAACGACGGUAGCGGCAAUAGCGUAGACGCACGCGGAGAAACGAAAGAGUGGGGGGGGGGGGGAGGAGAGGAAGGAAAGACGACCGGCCAUAACUUUCGAUCCCUCGGCAAUCUCGGUUUAUAGGGAGCGCCUCGCAUGACAAUGCGGAACGGUUCGGCAGGUGCCGCGCGCCAGAAGCCUAAUUCGACCGGCGGCACAUGCCGCUCGUAAACCAGACCGUAUAUACCGCUGUACCGCGCCGCACCGGAGACCACGGAGAAAGCCGGAGAGAGAUGUCGCCGGUAUGGCUUUCGUCAUUUGUACACACGACGGACGGACGCCGUAAAUGUAAUUUGGACGAGCGGCGGCGGAGAUACGAGCACCUAUCUCGAGAUCCAAAGAGAGCGUAACGCCCCAGCGCCAUAAAGGUAAACAUAAUGCCCGGCCCCAUUUGUAGCGAGCUGCGAAUUACUCGCACCGCUCUGCGUAAACGCGGCACAAACAACUAAUCCAAGUAACAACUGUAUCAUUAUUUCUUCAACGCAAAGCAACGUUUAUUUACGCCAAUAUCUUAACCGUAUGUAACGUGUAAUUUACGGUAAUCCUCGUAUCUCUGGUUUAUUCAUUCCUCGUCGAAAGAAUGACAUAGAGAUUUGUGAAAGUACAAAUACAAAUACAAAUUAUCGUUUGUAGAAAUGAAAAUUAGCUCGUAAAAAGCUUGAUCGAUUUGGGAUAAACGGGAAAAGCUCAUCGACAUAAGUCGGCUGAGGUUGUCUAUCGUGUAUAUAACACCGGGUUGCAGCCGAGUAAUGCGGUCCACGACGAUAAAUAAUAUAGUGGCAAGCCUCGCAAUCAAGGAGGGUCGAAAUAGAUGCCUAAUUCGACCAAAUUCGACCUGAACCUAAUCGGAUCAGCUCGCACCGCUCGUAAACUACAAAGACGACCAGCCGCAGUGGUAUACGAUCCAUCAUUCUGCACAGGAUCAGGCUCCAUAAAUGUAAUUCGGCUAAAUAGAGAUACUGUAGGCUGACACGUAACGAGGAAAGGUUAAUGAGAAAUACGGAAAGAGAGACGUAGGUGCCAUGCAAUAAUAAUCGAAUGAUGACGUGGUUAAUGCGCUUCCCAUUCAGUUAAAUAUGAACACGACCGCGUUUGAUAUUUUAUUUUUACAUUUUUGCGCUACAUCGUAUCAAACACACGAUGAACUAAGCGAAAAACUAGAAAUAUGGUAAUAUGUGACAUUUAGCUGAUACGCCUCCGCUGCUGCUGGUAUUUCCGUCGAUACGAAAUCGAUACUUUUAUUCAAUGAUGAGAAUUAAAUCGAGUACACGCGAAACUUCCCAGAUAGUAAAAUCGUACGAAUUUAUUUUAAUUUUAAGUUGCAGAUGGAACAUAAAAUAUUAAAGUAUCAGCUAUGUUAGAUCUAUUUAUAUCGUUAAUAGAAUAAAAACCACUUUUAUUUGGUCACAGUAAAAAGCUGCAAUUGCCCUUUGCGAUUGAAAAAGCAAUACCAGCGGCUAAACCUAACUGAACAAUGUGAAGAGACACGUCAAAAGGCAACAUUUAAUUUGGCUUCGCCCACUUGAUAAACCCCGCAGGCAUUAUAACGAAUGCAAACUCAAUACUUUGCUCGACUGUCGCGAAUGGUGCAAACUAAUCGACCAAAACGUAGGGAAGUACGAAAAACAGCGCGUUUCAUUCACCGAGAAUAGACAAACAUAAAAUUUUAUUUAACUACAAAUGUUAUUUUAUUUCAAAAAUAUCUCUGAGUUUUAAGUUGUAAAAAAUAGAAAAUUUAAUCCUGCUUUUUUUAUUAACAUCCAAACAAGUAAAUUUGGCCCAAAAUCAUCUAAAUGGAUAUUUAACUUCACGAACUAAAAAAUUGCAACAAUUAAUAAUCUUUCAUUCAUUUUCAGUCUUAAAAAAAAAAUAAUAAACUCUUUACAGUUCAUAGCAAUAAAUGUUACAUUUUAUAUGACAACUGACGUUCCUUUUCAAAGAGUAAUUCCGUUUCUUUCCUCAAUAACCACACUUCCUCGUUCUAGCGGUCGAGUGCCUUCGUCCUGGCCGCUUCGGCCGGCAUCAAGAACCGUUUCAAGUACUAUCCACGUACCAUGGGCACGAUUAGAAAGUUCGUCAUGCGGGAGGACGGCAGUCCGUCGACAAUUUGUCGCGUGAAACUUCAAUUUCCCGCGAACUCUGCGACCCUCUCUGUAACUUUAUUGUCGCUACGUCUGCUAACGGAUGGAAGGGGAAGGAGGGCGAAUCGAGUGGGGAUGGGACAACGAGCUAAGUAAGAGACGGAAGAAGAAGAAAGCAGCAUCCCAAAAGCUAUGGUCUCGCGCGCGCGUUUACCAGCACUCAGAGACUUUGCCCGAGCUUGCUCGCUCGCUCGCUCGCUGGAAGAGCCGAGAGCCCGAGUCUACAAUUCUGUCACGUACGCGUCAUAAGUCCUUCGUGCCUUUAAGUAAGAAGUAACACCAUGCCGUCCCCGCUAUUCCGUGUACUCGUGUCCCUAAGUAUCUCGCGCUCGUCUACGUAUAUACGAUUUAUCACGAGGACUGCCGAGGAGGAGCGAGAUUGGCGGUAACGUUAAUACCGAGCGUGAAAUGUUAAAAAAACUUGCGACUGCACGUGCAAGAAGUUACAAGGUAAUAAUAGUAUCUCUGUUGUUCCAAAUUCUUUUUAUCCCAACGAGAAGCUGACGCAAUCAAUUGCGCGACACUGCAGCUCGUAAAUUUACGCCGGAACACCUCCGCCGUCGGUCUAUGUCAAAGAAGUGCCCGUGUACGCGUAUCUCACCCGAGGUCCACCCUCUCGAUCUCGUAAAACCCCCCAGCGCUUACGGCGCUCAAUCGGAGCUGACCCAAAAAAUUCUGGCCGGGGACGUUCUCCGGCGUUGUCCGGCGAUCGCGUAAAGUUUCCGCCUCCGUCCCGAGCUGACUCGGCACCGUCUCUGAAACUCCGUUCACGUGCGCGUCAUAAGUCCUCGGCGUCUUUAAGUAAGAAGUAACGUCGCCGCGCUGGCGUACGCUCCACGGAGUACCACGGACGCCUCUCAAAGUACGCAGGAAGGCUUGGGCGGUGUGUGCUGCGAUCUACCCACUUAUACACACACCCUGUCGCCACGCUCCUCAAGAAGUCGCCGCCUAGGUAUAGGCGUGAGUAGCGCGAGGUGGCGGCGGAGGCGCCGAAGGUGCUAGGAGGUUCCGGGAGAUUCGGCCGGGCGGUCGGCGCGGAGGUGGCGAGGAUGGCGGUGUGCAGGGGUGGCUUGGUAGCGCCUUACGCCGGAGUUCACUUGACGAGGAGGUGGUGUGCGGCGGUCAGGCGUGGCCGGCAUACCAAAUCCGUGGGGUAUUCUGGUCAUGUAGUAGGUACGGGGUCCUAGCUUUCCAAGAGAGCGACUUGCCUACCUCUCUCUGCCGAAUCCUCCCUCCCCCGCUUCUACUCCUGCCUCUCAGUCUCCUGCAUUUUGCUCGUUCGCAAGCUACCUCUCGGUAGGAUGAGUGGGUGGGGGAGUAUUAAUUGGCUUACGAGGCGACACUCAUUAGCACUUUGAGUACGAGGGGUUGUGCGGACAAGGGAGGAGGUGAGAAACACCCUCCGGAGGCGUUGCUCGAGGCUACCUUGCGCGUCACGCGCCUUCCUACAGACUCUCUGGCUAACACCCGUUCCCGUCGAGGGCCGUUCCUCGCCUCGAGGCGAGGCAAAGCGACUCGUAAUACGAUAGUCGAACACUCGCUAUCGACGAGUCAUCUUCGAAAAGAGUAUCGGCCUACGCAUAAUUGGCCAAUAUUUUUAUUUUUAGUCGAUGAUUCUCCGUGAAGAAUACAUGUGUACAUUGCCGUGUGCCGAUUUGCAACUAUGGAAAUGAAGCGACGUCACCAUAGCUCGUUAUUUCGUGGCGUAACUAAUGAGAAAAAAAUUGGAAGCCUCGAUGAAAAACAGAACUGGAAGGCUAUCGAAAACGGCUAUCAUCCUUGAAUUGUCUCUGGCGUUCUCCGUUUCAUCGAUAACACUCGUCGGGCCACUCGGUGGUGUCUGAAUGUAACAGAAUGAAAAACGGAAAGCGAUCGAUUCCCCGCGCUCUUCGCGGGGAUCGUUCUUGAUUAAGUGUGAUUCACUCGUCGUUCUAAAUACAACUCGACACGAGAUAAUCGAAACGAACUUUCAAUUUGUUCGUUAUCCAAGCGAGAUACUCGCGACUUUUUUUUUACGAGUCUACACGAGUACUUGUUUUCUGUGUCUCUCAUAUCUGCUUGGAAAGCAUUCUUAUACACAGACCUCUGAUUAAUACAUUUAAUUGACUGCAUGAAAGCUGUGAUAUCUCAAACAACAAAAUGAGACAUUCAUAAUAAUGGUUUUCCCUCAAAAAAUUCUUCUCACAGAAGCUUUAGAAAGGUGCUUUUGCAGAAGUCAAUGUGAUCCCUGGUACAAUAAUAAUUCAUAUUUUAAAAGUCAAUCCGCCAAUUUGCAAAGCGUACUCGCUCCGUACUUCGAAAUUUCCAUCUUCCCGCGGUAAAAAACCUUAAUUCGCACGUGUCGAGACAAAAUUAGAAAUAUAAAAUCUCGGAGCGCGACGGGGCAACGAUCUGCAUUUCGGGGUACGGCGAAAAGAUACGGGGGGGGGGGGGAGAGGGAGGAAAGAGGAGGCGGGAUGAAUCGCGGGGUGGGAUUGCGGCCACGGAAUAUUUCGUGGUCGUCCGUGGAUUUGCGCCGUUGUGGUCAACCCGAUACUCCGAACUCUCUCAGUAGAUCCAAUUUGAUCGGAAGACCGCAACGUCUCUACGCCGACCUUGUGUAGAAACGGACAAUGUGUGUACGCCAUGCACGAGAUAACCUCGAAAUGCUCAAACCCCCGUGCAUCUCUCGUAGCCCACCGCACCACCCCCUCAUCUCGCUUCUCUGCCUCUCUCUCUCUCUCCUUCUGCAUAUCGUAUAUAUCUCUCCAUCCUGCACACGCUCAACUCCCCGACUCACCCGCCGGUAGACAAUGUUGCUCGAUAAGGCAUUGUUCCAGCGCGGUCUCGGGCUAUACGAGCCUCACCAGGCUACAUUAUCAUCCCUUCGCAAACGUUACUGCCCUAAACUUCGCUCGUCUGGCACUACCCGGUCAUACAUAUGCCCAUCGCAAAACGCGCGCUUUCUUUCCGUCCGCGCGUAAACGUUUUCGUAAAACUUGACAAAACAGAAACGAAAUAAGCAUCAUUACAGAGUAAUUCUACAACUGAACAGAUUUUCUGUUUAAAUUUUGAAAUUGUACACGUGUAUCGAGAUUAGCGUAUUUCUAAUUAAUAAAUUUCGUGAAAUAAAAUGUAGAAAAAAGUUUGACCAAUAAAUUUUUUUUACGAAAUAAUAAAUGUUUACAACGUAGACUUUCGUACAAACCGAUAAAUGUUUCGAAUCGCACCUAAAAUUGCUAAACUCUUAAUUCAUUUAUCACAGCGUCCAUUCUAUAGCAAGGUUAAGCGCUGCUUUUGUCUACUUUAUGAAAAGAACAUCCAGUUUUGACAUUUUAAAUCCUAGCCGCACUUAAUACGUAACACAACAACACUGUCAACGUUCAUCGACAUUUAAUCGCCGUCCUGUCGAUCAUUCUGAAUUUUGUGAAACCGUUCACGCACGUAUGCGUCAUUCUGUCUCCAUGGAUCGCGUUAUGUCACGCCCUUGCCUCAAUUAAAACCUAGAUUCACAAUUCAUUCCCCUUGCCGGCCAAAUCAUUUCGUAUAUUGUUGCCCCGCACAUCUGACGCAACAUAGGGGCAGACUACGGCAAAUUUUAAUGCCGAUAGAUGCUCCCCACUUCAUACAUAUGUAUGCGCGCAUCGGUAUGAAUAAUCCUUCACGUUGGCUACAGCUAUGACCAUAGAGAAGCCAUCAUCCAUCGUCCGUCAUAUCGUUAGAAUAGUAAAGACAACACCUGUCGGUCGUCAAAUCGGAAUAUAUUAUAAUGCACGUGCCAAAUUUUAAAAUCCAACCGAUCACGAUGACGCCGUUUUAUCGCGAUUUACAAGGCUGUGCGCCCCUUCGUGGUUACAAAUUAAAGAAACGUCAGAUAAGAAGCGGCAGAAGAGCGAGAACGUGUGAAGACGAUAAUCGCCGAGGCAACCUUCGGGAAGCCGAGGAGUUAAGUUCCUCGCGUUACGUUCCUCGCGCGCGAGAUUUGCAUUCGCGCAUUAGAAUUUGGCAUCCGCUUGGAAACGACGCGCGUCAUGCGGCGCAUCCCAUUACGCGACCGGCGUGCGGAGCUCGUGCAUUCAUAGGUAAUGAACCGCGCGCAAAGCUAGGUGCGCGCUCGCGUCCUCUGGGCUAUUCAACGUGAAGUGGAAGAGGGAAAAGAAGGAAAUCGCUAUCCACGAUUGUAGGAACGCGCGGCGCGGCGGCAGCGGCGGCUGCGACGAUUCGCUCGUUCCACGAACGUGGCACUACCUUCCCUCCGUCGUGUCGGGCAGGAAAUGCGAAUCCACUCGCUCGCAGCUGCGGCUGAGCGAGUGUGCACGCACGUCAUAUUAUUUUCCAUCGACGUAUCGCCGCUGGAGCCGAAGGCUGCAACAUCGGCGUACACGCAUAAUUUUUCAAUUUACCGCCGAGGAGAGCCGACGCAAUCACGCGGCGACGCGCACAUGGUGCCCGCCUACGACGAUACGGUACGUCGGGCUUCGUGACGGCGACGGAGUAAAAUCUCCGUCUGGGAAAAUGAAGAAACAUUGGAGAUGGUAAUCCGCGGUAAUUGUAAAUUCUAAUCGCGGAAGCGUUAAUGAGGUUUCUGUUAGUGUCUGUCGCUUGAUAAUUGACGAUGACCUAACGUGCGCGCAGUACGCCGACGCGGCCGUUUAUUUAUUCGUAUUCUUAUCAACAAGAACGGAAACCGACGCUGCCCGUUGAGGAAGGAGGCUUUACGAAGCGUUGAUAAAUCGAGCUCGCCUGCACGCCGCCGCUUAAUGUACGCCCCGAUAUGGAGGCCCCGAAGGCGGAGACGAAAUUGGUUUUGCGCGACGACGCCGACGACGACGACGACGACGACAAACUGGAUUUUCCUCGACAAACAAAACAGAUGCAUCGAUAAAACUUUGUCGAGGGCGUAUCGCUGAGUAUUUUUAGCGUCGAACACGUUGCAGGGUCGACCUGUCCCACCGCGGUUUGCUCGGCGCGUCCACUGAAAUAUACAAGGUCGGACAGAAUCUUCUAUUCCACGUAGAACGGCCGGACGAGGGUGGCGUAGCGCGCGCGCGGGUUUUCGAACAUUACAUAUUGACGAGUCUGGAAGGUUUCAUGGGUGAGGCUGUACGGAUGGUACGGCAUGACGCGAGAGCGGAAGUCCAACGGAGCACGGGAAAGAAGAGAGAAGAGAAGCGGAAAGGAGAGGCGACGGUGGAAGGAAAGUCGCUCGGCCGGAGAGAAUCUUCCGUAGUGCGGCCACGUAGUCGCCGUUUGUCGAUCGUACCGCAAUAAUUCCUUAUUGCUCCUCCAACCCCUAACCUGACCCUAACCCUAACUCCUUCUUUUCUUUCUCGACGUUCCUCCUCUCCUCCUCCUCCUCCUUUCCGUCUGGUCUUCUCCUUCUUCUUCGACAUCUUUCCUUCCUCUCGCGUCCUCGUUUCGCUGUCCCCGCCGCGUUCCACUCUCAUCCACCUCACGUCCAGCCACCCUUCCGCAUCCAAUCCCUACCGCCCCUCAUCAUCUUCUACUUUUGAAAGGGUUGCGAGGAUUAACGGAAAACCAUUAAAUCUGGCACGAUCGAAGGAUCAAGAGGACAAAACGAUAACGUGCCUCGUGCCAUAAUAACGUGCGUUCUAGUUCAUGAGUCGCUAUACUGCUAAAAGUAAUAAUCUUCCGAAACGAGUUAUAUGCUAUUCCGAGAAGUCUCUUAUUUGGAACCGUUUCAAGAAUAAAAUGGAUUUCAUAGAGACAAAUUUUCCACGUAUCCAGAAACUUUAAAUGACGACCUCUUCGAAUUUUAUGUUAACACUCAAUAAAACUAGC